RNAcentral lists this small nucleolar RNA (93 nucleotides) under Theobroma cacao (cacao). RNAcentral describes it as "Small nucleolar RNA snoR8a". It matches the Rfam family "Small nucleolar RNA snoR8a". The record is from Rfam by way of RNAcentral. Lineage: Eukaryota; Viridiplantae; Streptophyta; Magnoliopsida; Malvales; Malvaceae.
GAGUUAGAAAUGAUUAUAAAAAUAAUUCUUUAUUCUGACUUACUUAAUUUGGGUAUAACAAACUUUUUAUUACAACUAUAGAAUCUGAGUUAC